This is a long non-coding RNA of Pipistrellus kuhlii (Kuhl's pipistrelle), 134 nucleotides long. RefSeq lists it as uncharacterized. The record is from RefSeq and is a predicted model, not a curated record. The transcript has 3 exons. Lineage: Eukaryota; Metazoa; Chordata; Mammalia; Chiroptera; Vespertilionidae.
CCAGGUCAGUGGGCUCUCUCCACGCCCCCGGGCCCGCUGCAGACCCCGCGGGGAUCUGGCAUUGCCUGGGGCACGGAGAGCCCCCGGUCCUAGAACCACGCGCGGAGUAGAGUAGAAGGAAGAGGAGAAGGCUG